Long non-coding RNA from Podarcis raffonei (Aeolian wall lizard), 1188 nucleotides. RefSeq lists it as uncharacterized. NCBI's taxonomy places the organism in Eukaryota, Metazoa, Chordata, Lepidosauria, Squamata, Lacertidae. The record is from RefSeq and is a predicted model, not a curated record. The transcript is spliced from 3 exons.
GUGAAUUGAGUGUAAUGACACACUCACCUGUGUAUCCUGAGCUCAUUCUGGAGCUUUAGUUAGACGACCUGUUUGUCAAUAAUAAUUAGCCUUUACUGUUCUCUGGACUUAAGUGCACACCCUGCCCCCUUGAUUAUUUUUAUUUUAAAGCAGUGAUUAGUCUUCCUCUUUGUCUUUCAGUGCAACCACAGUUCGUCCCUUAACCAAAUAUUCAGCAGUCCAGCUUCUGGGCAUGUAAGGACCUGCCUGAGAUCUUGUUGAGCAGCUGCCAAUUAAUUAGAUAAUGCUGGGCUGAUCAGACCAAUGGCCUGACUCCCUAUAAGAAAUCUUCACAAAGUAUGCACUGCAGAAGAAGGGAAAUGGGAACUGGAUUUUGAGAAGUGGAAUGCACACGAUUGGGAGUAAAUGCAGCUGUGUGUACUCUGUGCUUUGCUAGGGGUUUACUUAUGGGGUAAAGAAGAAGAGUAAGCUAAAUGAGGCUAUCAGAAGAAGGAGAAAUCUGAAGGAUGAAAGAAAAGUGAUGCAGUUUAAAGGAAGCAUUCAAGGAAUGCAUUGUCACCAUCCUACAAAUGCUGCUCCUCUAAGUGGCUGCCUGGAUCAUUUGUGUGGUCAGGCCUGGCCCAUGGCAAGCAUCUCAUCUGGCUGUCAAGACGGAUAACUAACCAUUGGAGGGUUUUGAGAAGAGCCUUAAUAUGGCCAAGGCAGCUGGAAAGCUUAUUAUAGUGUCUUCCUGUCACUAUUUCCCCUAAAGUGUGGUGUCUUUUGAGUUACCUUGUGGUGAAGAUCCACAGGGAAGAUGCCAUCUAAGACUCAGGGAACGAUUCAAAUACUGUGGUACCUCGGUUUAAGAACAGCCCUGUUUAGGAACUAUUCGGUUUACGAACUCCACAAAACCGGAAGUAGUGUCCUGGUUUGCGAACUUUAUCUCGGUCUAAGAAUGGAAUCCAAACAGUGGAAGGGCACUGGUGGCGGGAGGCCUCAUUAGGGAAAGCGUGCCUCAGUUUAAGAACAGUUUCAGUUUAAGAACAGACUUCUGGAACGGAUUAAGUUUGUAAACUGAGAUACCACUGUAUGUUGGAACGGCAAGUGAGCUGAAAAAUGCAGUUUUGCCAAAUUUAUCAGUCUGUGAUUUCUGCAAUUUAGAUUCUGCCUUCCUAAUUCUGUAUUUAGCCAAUUGUUUGUGCAUCU